UACAGAGGGUGCGAGCGUUGUUCGGAAUCACUGGGCGUAAAGCGCAUGUAGGUGGUAUAGUAAGUUGAAUGUGAAAUCCCUUGGCUCAACCGAGGACGUGCAUUCAAAACUGCUAAACUAGAGUAUCGGAGGGGGUGGUAGAAUUCCUAGUGUAGAGGUGAAAUUCGUAGAUAUUAGGAGGAAUACCCGUGGCGAAGGCGACCACCUGGACGAUAACUGACACUGAGAUGCGAAAGCGUGGGUAGCAAACGGG
This 253-nucleotide ribosomal RNA is filed under the name uncultured bacterium. RNAcentral describes it as "partial 16S ribosomal RNA". It matches the Rfam family "Bacterial small subunit ribosomal RNA", at positions 524 to 776 of the family's 1533-position model. The record is from RNAcentral.